UCGGGUAGCAAUAUUCGGUAGUUGGAGCGGCGCAAGGGUGCGUAACACGUGGGCAACCUGCCGUGAAGUCUGGGACAACUUGCUGAAAGGCGAGCUAAUACCGGAUGUGACAAUUGAGAGGCAUCUUUUGAUUGUCAAAGUUGGGGACCGUAAGGCCUGACGCUUCACGAUGAGCCCGCGGCCUAUCAGCUAGUUGGUGAGGUAACGGCUCACCAAGGCUUAGACGGGUAGCUGGUCUGAGAGGACGACCAGCCACACUGGAACUGAGACACGGUCCAGACACCUACGGGUGGCAGCAGUCGAGAAUUUUUCACAAUGGGCGCAAGCCUGAUGGAGCGACGCCGCGUGGGGGAUGAAUGGCUUCGGCCCGUAAACCCCUGUCAUUCGCGAUCAAACGUUAUUAUUUAAAAGAUGAUGACCUGAUAGUAGCGGAAGAGGAAGGGACGGCUAACUCUGUGCCAGCAGCCGCGGUAAUACAGAGGUCCCGAGCGUUGUUCGGAUUCACUGGGCGUAAAGGGUGCGUAGGUGGUGAGGUAAGUCGGAUGUGAAAUCUCGGAGCUCAACUCCGAAAUGGCAUUGGAAACUACCUCGCUCGAGGAAUGGAAGGGGGACUGGAAUUCACGGUGUAGCA
This 631-nucleotide ribosomal RNA is filed under the name uncultured Verrucomicrobiota bacterium. RNAcentral describes it as "bacterial SSU rRNA". It matches the Rfam family "Bacterial small subunit ribosomal RNA", at positions 72 to 680 of the family's 1533-position model. The record is from RNAcentral. Lineage: Bacteria; Pseudomonadati; Verrucomicrobiota.